RNAcentral lists this ribosomal RNA (1319 nucleotides) under Shigella flexneri. RNAcentral's name for it is "partial 23S ribosomal RNA". It matches the Rfam family "Bacterial large subunit ribosomal RNA", at positions 1 to 1359 of the family's 2925-position model. Lineage: Bacteria; Pseudomonadati; Pseudomonadota; Gammaproteobacteria; Enterobacterales; Enterobacteriaceae. The record is from RNAcentral.
GGUUAAGCGACUAAGCGUACACGGUGGAUGCCCUGGCAGUCAGAGGCGAUGAAGGACGUGCUAAUCUGCGAUAAGCGUCGGUAAGGUGAUAUGAACCGUUAUAACCGGCGAUUUCCGAAUGGGGAAACCCAGUGUGAUUCGUCACACUAUCAUUAACUGAAUCCAUAGGUUAAUGAGGCGAACCGGGGGAACUGAAACAUCUAAGUACCCCGAGGAAAAGAAAUCAACCGAGAUUCCCCCAGUAGCGGCGAGCGAACGGGGAGCAGCCCAGAGCCUGAAUCAGUGUGUGUGUUAGUGGAAGCGUCUGGAAAGGCGUGCGAUACAGGGUGACAGCCCCGUACACAAAAAUGCACAUACUGUGAGCUCGAUGAGUAGGGCGGGACACGUGGUAUCCUGUCUGAAUAUGGGGGGACCAUCCUCCAAGGCUAAAUACUCCUGACUGACCGAUAGUGAACCAGUACCGUGAGGGAAAGGCGAAAAGAACCCCGGCGAGGGGAGUGAAAAAGAACCUGAAACCGUGUACGUACAAGCAGUGGGAGCACGCUUAGGCGUGUGACUGCGUACCUUUUGUAUAAUGGGUCAGCGACUUAUAUUCUGUAGCAAGGUUAACCGAAUAGGGGAGCCGAAGGGAAACCGAGUCUUAACUGGGCGUUAAGUUGCAGGGUAUAGACCCGAAACCCGGUGAUCUAGCCAUGGGCAGGUUGAAGGUUGGGUAACACUAACUGGAGGACCGAACCGACUAAUGUUGAAAAAUUAGCGGAUGACUUGUGGCUGGGGGUGAAAGGCCAAUCAAACCGGGAGAUAGCUGGUUCUCCCCGAAAGCUAUUUAGGUAGCGCCUCGUGAAUUCAUCUCCGGGGGUAGAGCACUGUUUCGGCAAGGGGGUCAUCCCGACUUACCAACCCGAUGCAAACUGCGAAUACCGGAGAAUGUUAUCACGGGAGACACACGGCGGGUGCUAACGUCCGUCGUGAAGAGGGAAACAACCCAGACCGCCAGCUAAGGUCCCAAAGUCAUGGUUAAGUGGGAAACGAUGUGGGAAGGCCCAGACAGCCAGGAUGUUGGCUUAGAAGCAGCCAUCAUUUAAAGAAAGCGUAAUAGCUCACUGGUCGAGUCGGCCUGCGCGGAAGAUGUAACGGGGCUAAACCAUGCACCGAAGCUGCGGCAGCGACGCUUAUGCGUUGUUGGGUAGGGGAGCGUUCUGUAAGCCUGUGAAGGUGUGCUGUGAGGUAUGCUGGAGGUAUCAGAAGUGCGAAUGCUGACAUAAGUAACGAUAAAGCGGGUGAAAAGCCCGCUCGCCGGAAGACCAAGGGUUCCUGUC